This 800-nucleotide ribosomal RNA is filed under the name Microbacterium sp. JSM 2175015. Its description in RNAcentral is "bacterial SSU rRNA". It matches the Rfam family "Bacterial small subunit ribosomal RNA", at positions 35 to 844 of the family's 1533-position model. Lineage: Bacteria; Bacillati; Actinomycetota; Actinomycetes; Micrococcales; Microbacteriaceae. The record is from RNAcentral.
GGCCGGGGCGUGGAACUUCACUAGCAGUCGACGGUGAACACGGAGCUUGCUCUGUGGGAUCAGUGGCGAACGGGUGAGUAACACGUGAGCAACCUGCCCCUGACUCUGGGAUAAGCGCUGGAAACGGCGUCUAAUACUGGAUACGAGUAGCGACCGCAUGGUCAGUUACUGGAAAGAUUUAUUGGUUGGGGAUGGGCUCGCGGCCUAUCAGCUUGUUGGUGAGGUAAUGGCUCACCAAGGCGUCGACGGGUAGCCGGCCUGAGAGGGUGACCGGCCACACUGGGACUGAGACACGGCCCAGACUCCUACGGGAGGCAGCAGUGGGGAAUAUUGCACAAUGGGCGCAAGCCUGAUGCAGCAACGCCGCGUGAGGGAUGACGGCCUUCGGGUUGUAAACCUCUUUUAGCAGGGAAGAAGCGAAAGUGACGGUACCUGCAGAAAAAGCGCCGGCUAACUACGUGCCAGCAGCCGCGGUAAUACGUAGGGCGCAAGCGUUAUCCGGAAUUAUUGGGCGUAAAGAGCUCGUAGGCGGUUUGUCGCGUCUGCUGUGAAAUCCGGAGGCUCAACCUCCGGCCUGCAGUGGGUACGGGCAGACUAGAGUGCGGUAGGGGAGAUUGGAAUUCCUGGUGUAGCGGUGGAAUGCGCAGAUAUCAGGAGGAACACCGAUGGCGAAGGCAGAUCUCUGGGCCGUAACUGACGCUGAGGAGCGAAAGGGUGGGGAGCAAACAGGCUUAGAUACCCUGGUAGUCCACCCCGUAAACGUUGGGAACUAGUUGUGGGGUCCAUUCCACGGAUUCCGU